AUGCAAGCUCGAACGGGGGUUAAGUCUUCGGACUUAACUCUAGUGGCGGACGGGUGAGUAACGCGUGGGCAACCUGCCUCGGACAGGGGAAUAACCACUGAGAAAUCACUGGCUAAGACCUCAUAAGCUCCCGGUGUCGCAUGACACAGAGAGAAAAGAUUUAUCGGUUCGAGAGGGGCCCGCGGCUGAUUAGCUAGUUGGAGAGGUAACGGCUCACCAAGGCGACGAUCAGUAGCCGACCUGAGAGGGUGAUCGGCCACAUUGGGACUGAGACACGGCCCAAACUCCUACGGGAGGCAGCAGUGGGGAAUAUUGCGCAAUGGAGGAAACUCUGACGCAGCAACGCCGCGUGAAGGAAGAAGGUUUUCGGAUCGUAAACUUCAAUCCACAGGGAAGAAACAAAUGACGGUACCUGGGGGGAAGCCCCGGCUAACUACGUGCCAGCAGCCGCGGUAAUACGUAGGGGGCAAGCGUUAUCCGGAAUUACUGGGUGUAAAGGGUGAGUAGGCGGUAUCGUAAGUCAUAUGUGAAAGCCCGGUGCUUAACACCGGGACUGCAUAAGAAACUGCGGAACUAGAGUACAGGAGAGGUAAGCGGAAUUCCUAGUGUAGCGGUGAAAUGCGUAGAUAUUAGGAAGAACACCAGUGGCGAAGGCGGCUUACUGGACUGAAACUGACGCUGAGUCACGAAAGCGUGGGGAGCGAACAGGAUUAGAUACCCUGGUAGUCCACGCUGUAAACGAUGAGUGCUAGGUGUCGGGUA
RNAcentral lists this ribosomal RNA (762 nucleotides) under uncultured Eubacteriales bacterium. Its description in RNAcentral is "bacterial SSU rRNA". It matches the Rfam family "Bacterial small subunit ribosomal RNA", at positions 55 to 829 of the family's 1533-position model. The record is from RNAcentral. Lineage: Bacteria; Bacillati; Bacillota; Clostridia; Eubacteriales.